This is a long non-coding RNA of Bombus huntii, 4378 nucleotides long. RefSeq lists it as uncharacterized. Lineage: Eukaryota; Metazoa; Arthropoda; Insecta; Hymenoptera; Apidae. The record is from RefSeq and is a predicted model, not a curated record. The transcript is spliced from 3 exons.
ACGGAUAAAACAAAUAAUUUGUUAGUCCACCUCGUUUACUUUAUUUACUAAUUACAUUUUACUAAUUAUCUUUAUAUAUAAUUAAUAAAUUUUAUUAUAUUGAUUCUCUAUGAAGUAAUUUUAUUUAUUAUAUUUGUCAAUAUACUACUGUAUUUAAUUAUAGUAUUAUAUUGGUACUUAUACCUAACAAAUUAUUCAUAGCAAUCAUUGGUUCAUAAAUUCUAGAUUAUAAUGAAAAGCUAUAAUCGAUUAUACAUUUUUUAUGUUAUAAGCAAAUAAUUUUUUAUUAUAGAAGAUUAAAUUACAUAACUGUAAAUGCCAAAACAUGGUAGAAAACUAAUAUAAUAUGUAUGUAUGAAUUGUAGAAGUGGUAAUACAAUUAUACGAAGUAUAAAAGCAAUUUAAAUUAAAGAUUCGUAAGGUAAUAGAAUUGUGGACGUAUCUAGGCACUUGGAGAAUCGUUCUAUCGCAUAUUCUAUUGGACUGAAUCUCAAUACUUCCGAUUGAAUUCGAAUAUAGAACGCCCUACUUCUCUAGGCUGGAUCGAGUGACAAGGAACAUCCUAUGAAAUUAGAAUCUUCGAGAUCGUUUUUAUUAUUCUAUACUUUGAAAGGAAAUUCUAGUUCAGCCUCGUAGCAUCACGAAUGAUUAAAUUUACUUAAAAUUAUGUUUACUAAAAACAGACAUCGUAUAAAAUUCUUAUAAAGAACAAUACCAAUAGAACCGACAAUAAACAAUUCUCAACAUUUUUCCAUUUUCAAUCGCCUCUAUGCAACGGCAAUUAAACGAAGUUGACUCACUGUUGGACCUUUAUUUGGUUUUAUAUCUUCUAUAAAAAUUAAUUCUGCAAAAUUAUCGCAAUCUUCGAGAUAACGCAACACGUUAAUAAUCCACGGAAACACAUCAUCAUCCUAUCGUUGUUAAAUUUACUCCGCAUGUUCUUCAAUCUCACUUAACAGCGUCCCAAUAACUCUCUCGCAAUUCAUCAACUCUCUACGAUCUCCACCAAUCUAUCAAGUGCACCUAAUCAAUCCUAACAAUCUCUCGUUUCGAUCAAUUCGAAAUGACAAUUUCCCCUCUAUUAUACCAUAUUCACAUAACGCAGUUGGAAUGCAACGAUGGAAACGAAAAUGUCACGAUCGGUGGACAACGUUAUUCAUGGCCACUUCUCUCCAAGAUGGAGGAGAGAAAACGUGUGCCAAUCCUUUCGGGAAAUAUGAUUCAUCGGGGAGUAUAGAUCCGGCGGAAGCUUGGCAAAAACAGUUGGUGAUUUAUUGAUCCGAGUUCAAUGUCUCGAAGAAACGAGAUUGGAAUUAGAACGAUACGAACGAUUUACUCACUGGCAAUUAUAUGUAAAUUUGUCGUGUCCAAGAAGAGGCACGACCGAAAUAAUUCACGAACUGUAGCAGAACGGACGCAACAACUUUCUUGCUGGCUUAAGUCGGGCUAACUUUGAGUCAUGUUGCUCGAAAUUCCAUCGGAGUUUUCUAUGCCAAGUGCAGCAGCCUAUACGAACACAUAAAUAUCGUCAGAAAAAAUAACGUCUGAUGCAUAAACCUGAAAGAAUCUCAGUAAUGAUUUGUUAAAAAUUUUACUAAUAAACCAAAAAUUACAAUUUAGCUACAAAGUUGUUCUCCUCGAUUCAUCAGACAUAUAAGUGGUAACUGGCAGUACAGGUCAGACAUUUGAUGAAACAAUUUUAUUACGAAGUUGAUUACCAUACUGCGGAUGCAAAUUGAUAUUUUUAUAAAUAAAACUACAGAAAUAGAAGCUAAAUAAUGGUUUGUUUUACCUUCCAAAACUUAUACAACGUAUAUCAUAUCAUCAUAUUUAGGACAUUUUACGUAUUUCUGCCCGUUUGGCUUAUUCUCUGAAUUUUCGUACCUUCAAAUUUCUUAUGGAUCCAUAAAAAUUCGUAGUCCAGUGAUUACUAUAGUUAGUAUUAUAAUAUGAAGAAAGAGAAAAAGCGGGAAAGGACUCAUUUGUUCUAUCGAUAUCUCCCCGAUUUCGUUUUUCUCGUACACGUGAAGAUGGUGUCGCGGAGAAUUAUGUCGUGGACACGAUAUGCGCGACGAAACGACGCAUAAUAAACGAGGCCGUUUAACACGGUGAACAUACUGGUUCGUCGUGAAUUAUUUCUGCCCAGCACGCGGUUGUUGAAAACACAGGAAAAACAGGAGAAACCGGGUGUGAAAAUUACGGACGACGCAAACUCUCCAGCCGCGAGUUCUAUAAAUAAUUCGACGCAUCUUCGUACCGCGAAAAUUCCCGUUAAUAUUUCAUCGUCCCUUGCGUGGGCCCUGGUUCUCGAAAGGUGGAACGUAUUAAGCUUCCUGUUUGGAAAAGGGAACUUCCGUUUAAUGCUUGUUCGAAUUGUUCUUUAUUUUAUGAGCCACGGUAUAAAGGAAAGUACACGAUAUAGGGGAGGAAAAACGGUACUUCAGACUAUAACAAUGGAGGACAAAACAAAGUUUCAAAUUGAUGCUUAUGUCCUGUGUAAAAUUGAUUCUUAUGUUUGAGUAGGUAUUAGCAACUUUUAUGCUUUACAUUUUUCACGAUUUUUUGUAACAGCCAUCUAUCUUGGAUUUUACAGGGAGGAUCUCUCUCUGCGUGCAAGGAGACAAGAGACGAUUAUUUGUGGGGAUAAAGCGAACCUGUGGAAUGAGACUUUGUCAGAAACUGAGUUUCGAGUGAUAAAAUAGUAUUACACGUUUUUAAUUCAUUUACGCACAAUUUACAUGACUUUAGUAGUUUCAAAGGGAUUUUUCUCAUUGCAUAGAUGCAAUUCAGUAAUUUCAAACGCACAAAUCAACCACCUUGUAUGUUCGUGAAGCGAUUCUCUAUUGACGCAGAUCCGGUGAAAACAGAUCGCUUGUCGGAAGAUUGCGUUCAUCGCUUCGAAAUUGUGAUGACGUGCUUGUGGAACUAUUCGUACGUCUUUCACCAUUAAGAUCAUUACAUCAUCAUCUGGAAUCUCAGAUACACAUCACUAUAUGGUCUAUUGAGAUCACCGAGACUUUAAACUGCCGAUUAAAUAGAUGAACUAAAAGUCGUCGUUUCCUACGGAUUUCGUAUUUUAUAUCUUUCUUUUUUCUUCUUGUGGACAAAAUUAAUGAAACUCAAGCUUGCAAUAAGAUACUCUAUAACACACUAAAUAUUUAUGAAAUACAUCUAAGAUAAAAAUAAAUGAAUAUAAAGUAGUUAAAAUGAAGUUAACCUUCAAUUGGCAUGGUGUGCGUUAAAUAGUUAAAAGAAAAUAAUAUACGUAAAAAGUGGAAAAAAAACAUAAAAUAUUGAGCAUCUUAUUUAGAAAAAAACACGGAACAUCUUCCAAAAAAUAUUGCACAAAAAAUCUAAUAAAGAAGAAUAUAAUUAUUAACACUUUCUUUUUAAAUCGUGACAAUUUUAUUCAACAUCUCCUUCCCCUCACAGCGAAUGCUUCACAAUUAAUUUCAAGCUGUCGCGUCGAGGCUAACCAAUUCACCCACCCUAAUAGAAUUUCCAUUUUCCCCAAAUUUACAUCUGUUACACCAUGGACCGUAUCGUUGGGAAUGAACCGAGGAUCGCAGGGUCGGGAAGUCGGUGGAAACCGAGUGGCAAACGUGUCUGUCGCACGAAAACACGACAAUGGGGGUGGAGCGUACGUAUCGAUCGUUACCUCUCGUCGUGAGUUCCAUCAGAAACGAUAAUGCUAAACUGCAGAUUCGCGUCGUUGGGUCGGCAACGCGUGCAAUAAAGGCCAACGUUAUCUGGCAGUAGCAUUGUUUACGGUUCGCUCGAGUUUCGACUAUGCUUCGCCGAUUUUUCUCUCUUUCUCUUCCGUACCGCCGCUUUUCCUCCACUCUUUUAUUUUCAACGACUCGAAACUCGCUCGAAACUGUCUGCUCGAAAAAAAAAACUCGACAACCCGUCGGAUAAUUGCGUUCAGAAAACGGAACGAGUCCGUAUUUGGCUUCCGGCCGAUCUUAUCGUUUCUGAUAUCCUCCUUCUGUCUUUUGUUACCGUCGCUUAUUAGCCGGAGACUCGAAUGAAAGCAGACGAAAUUCAAUUGGACGGUGUUUAUCGCAAAUAGUGGAAAUUGAAUUUUGUGGCUUGAUACGUUUUAGGGAUUACGUUGUGAAUUAUAACCGGGUUAAUCGAAGAGUUUCGAAAGAAAUGCAAGGAUAUUACGAUUUAUAUAGGUAACAUUGUUACUAAGAAUGUGAGAUGAUAUUAGAUGUGAAAUAUAGACACGAGAAAAUUAUUCUGUAAGCAGAGAAGGAAAUAAGUAAAAGAAUACUGGCAUGCCAUUUUUUCACGACCGAUAAGCCUUACAUCUGCAUCACGAAACAAUUAUUUUCCAAUAGCAAUGCGUUGUCCAUUGUUUCACAGUUUUUAA